This 274-nucleotide unclassified non-coding RNA is filed under the name Hevea brasiliensis (rubber tree). Lineage: Eukaryota; Viridiplantae; Streptophyta; Magnoliopsida; Malpighiales; Euphorbiaceae. The record is from RNAcentral.
UCUCCUACUUGACUGAUGUUAUUUACUGUAGCGAGCCCAGAUCCUAAUCCACAAAUCGUAGCAAUAAACAACAACCAGAAGUUUACAGUUCCCAAGGCUUGCAAGAGAUUCAGGUCUUCUUCAUCUGACGGAUUUCUGUCACCAGUAGAAGCCUUUGCUUGACCCUCACCACUAGGCAAUGCACGACAAUCUGCAGGAUUCUCUGCUGUAGAAAAGUCAGAAUAUACUUUUGGCUUUGGUUUGUAACCCCUCUCUUCCAAUAAUGCUUGUGCAA